This 870-nucleotide non-coding RNA is filed under the name Drosophila simulans. RNAcentral's name for it is "Eukaryotic large subunit ribosomal RNA". It matches the Rfam family "Eukaryotic large subunit ribosomal RNA", at positions 1551 to 2279 of the family's 3401-position model. Lineage: Eukaryota; Metazoa; Arthropoda; Insecta; Diptera; Drosophilidae. The record is from Rfam by way of RNAcentral.
ACUAUAUAAACAAAGCGAAUAUAAUACACUUGAAUAAUUUUGAACGAAAGGGAAUACGGUUCCAAUUCCGUAACCUGUUGAGUAUCCGUUUGUUAUUAAAUAUGGGCCUCGUGCUCAUCCUGGCAACAGGAACGACCAUAAAGAAGCCGUCGAGAGAUAUCGGAAGAGUUUUCUUUUCUGUUUUAUAGCCGUACUACCAUGGAAGUCUUUCGCAGAGAGAUAUGGUAGAUGGGCUAGAAGAGCAUGACAUAUACUGUUGUGUCGAUAUUUUCUCCUCGGACCUUGAAAAUUUAUGGUGGGGACACGCAAACUUCUCAACAGGCCGUACCAAUAUCCGCAGCUGGUCUCCAAGGUGAAGAGUCUCUAGUCGAUAGAAUAAUGUAGGUAAGGGAAGUCGGCAAAUUAGAUCCGUAACUUCGGGAUAAGGAUUGGCUCUGAAGAUUGAGAUAGUCGGGCUUGAUUGGGAAACAAUAACAUGGUUUAUGUGCUCGUUCUGGGUAAAUAGAGUUUCUAGCAUUUAUGUUAGUUACUUGUUCCCCGGAUAGUUUAGUUACGUAGCCAAUUGUGGAACUUUCUUGCUAAAAUUUUUAAGAAUACUAUUUGGGUUAAACCAAUUAGUUCUUAUCAAUUAUAACGAUUAUCAAUUAACAAUCAAUUCAGAACUGGCACGGACUUGGGGAAUCCGACUGUCUAAUUAAAACAAAGCAUUGUGAUGGCCCUAGCGGGUGUUGACACAAUGUGAUUUCUGCCCAGUGCUCUGAAUGUCAAAGUGAAGAAAUUCCAGUAAGCGCGGGUCAACGGCGGGAGUAACUAUGACUCUUCUAAGGGGGGACUCUCUUGGGGAUUUGGGGUAAUUGCGAGCAGAGGGGG